This 678-nucleotide long non-coding RNA is filed under the name Callithrix jacchus (white-tufted-ear marmoset). RNAcentral describes it as "lncRNA (ENSCJAG00000080471.1)". Lineage: Eukaryota; Metazoa; Chordata; Mammalia; Primates; Cebidae. The record is from RNAcentral.
CUCGUACUUUUCACAAACAGCCGUCUGAAAACUGUUACAGAAAUUCUGGGAAUAUUUUGCAUGGCUUAUCACCUCGUGUUCACUCUGGCAGACACAGAAGGCCACCCUAGAUUAAAACAAUUUUCUGAGGAAAAACAUCUUUUCAAAAAUCUUUUGGAAUAUCCAGAGAGAUUUCCUUCCAAGUGAUUAUUCCACGAAGGCAUGGAGAAGAACUAUAAUUUUUGUCCCCCACAAAGGUAGGUAGGGUUAUUUGACUUGGCUUGAUCAAUGAAAUAAGAGUAGAAAAGGCAUGUCACUGCCUCUGAAAACAAGAGUCAGUGUCUAGUUCAUCAAGCGGCCAUCUUUCCUCAUGCUCUGGAAAGUAUGAAGACAUGUUAAAAUAAAGCUUCCAACAUGCUGGAGCCUUGAAUAACUUAGAUGAGGAGGGCCCCUCUGUCAAAACAGUAUGAACACUUAGAAUCUACAAGGAAUAUACUUUGCUUUUUAAUGUACUGGGACUAGGGGAUUAUUUUGUUACUUCAGCAUAAUAUUGCCUAUCCUGACUGAUAAAACUACUGUCACCAUCUAUUAUGCACGUGUGUUUCCUUCUUUCUCUUCAGCUCAGAAAUCUCUUUGGUCACAAAAGUGUUAUAAAUGCCACUACCUAUUAUGCAAUCACCUAUGCUCUAUAGAUGUAAC